RNAcentral lists this ribosomal RNA (495 nucleotides) under uncultured bacterium. RNAcentral describes it as "partial 16S ribosomal RNA". It matches the Rfam family "Bacterial small subunit ribosomal RNA", at positions 28 to 506 of the family's 1533-position model. The record is from RNAcentral.
GAUGAACGCUGGCGGCGUGCCUAAUACAUGCAAGUCGAGCGAACGGACGAGAAGCUUGCUUCUCUGAUGUUAGCGGCGGACGGGUGAGUACACGUGGAUAACCUACCUAUAAGACUGGGAUAACUUCGGGAAACCGUAGCUAAUACCGGAUAAUAUUUUGAACCGCAUGGUUCAAAAGUGAAAGACGGUCUUGCUGUCACUUAUAGAUGGAUCCGCGCUGCAUUAGCUAGUUGGUAAGGUAACGGCUUACCAAGGCAACGAUGCAUAGCCGACCUGAGAGGGUGAUCGGCCACACUGGAACUGAGACACGGUCCAGACUCCUACGGGAGGCAGCAGUAGGGAAUCUUCCGCAAUGGGCGAAAGCCUGACGGAGCAACGCCGCGUGAGUGAUGAAGGUCUUCGGAUCGUAAAACUCUGUUAUUAGGGAAGAACAUAUGUGUAAGUAACUGUGCACAUCUUGACGGUACCUAAUCAGAAAGCCACGGCUAACUACGU